UACGGAAGGGGCAAGCGUUGUUCGGAAUCAUUGGGCGUAAAGGGCGCGUAGGUGGUUCUGUAUGUCUACCGUGAAAGCAUACGGCUCAACUGUAUUUUGUCGGUAGAAACUGCAGGACUUGAGGCUGGGAGGGGCUGGUGGAAUUCCCUGUGUAGCGGUGAAAUGCGUAGAGAUGGGGGAGAACACUCGUGGCGAAGGCGGCCAGCUAGACCAGUUCUGACACUGAGGCGCGACAGCGUGGGGAGCAAACAGG
RNAcentral lists this ribosomal RNA (253 nucleotides) under uncultured bacterium. Its description in RNAcentral is "partial 16S ribosomal RNA". It matches the Rfam family "Bacterial small subunit ribosomal RNA", at positions 524 to 776 of the family's 1533-position model. The record is from RNAcentral.